GAUGAACGCUGGCGGCGUGCCUAAUACAUGCAAGUCGAGCGAACAGAUGAGGAGCUUGCUCCACUGACGUUAGCGGCGGACGGGUGAGUAACACGUGGAUAACCUACCUAUAAGACUGGGAUAACUUCGGGAAACCGGAGCUAAUACCGGAUAAUAUAUUGAACCGCAUGGUUCAAUAGUGAAAGACGGUUUUGCUGUCACUUAUAGAUGGAUCCGCGCCGCAUUAGCUAGUUGGUAAGGUAACGGCUUACCAAGGCGACGAUGCGUAGCCGACCUGAGAGGGUGAUCGGCCACACUGGAACUGAGACACGGUCCAGACUCCUACGGGAGGCAGCAGUAGGGAAUCUUCCGCAAUGGGCGAAAGCCUGACGGAGCAACGCCGCGUGAGUGAUGAAGGUCUUCGGAUCGUAAAACUCUGUUAUUAGGGAAGAACAAAUGUGUAAGUAACUAUGCACGUCUUGACGGUACCUAAUCAGAAAGCCACGGCUAACUACGUG
RNAcentral lists this ribosomal RNA (497 nucleotides) under uncultured bacterium. RNAcentral describes it as "partial 16S ribosomal RNA". It matches the Rfam family "Bacterial small subunit ribosomal RNA", at positions 28 to 507 of the family's 1533-position model. The record is from RNAcentral.